UGAUUGGUGGAGUUUUUUUUCGUCGUUGCCAAAUGUGUUAGGUGUUAGUCAUCAGAUACUGUCAAAAUUGCUACGUGUUAUCGUCUCGGAUUACAUGGAGGUGAUUCAUAUGCCUGCAUUGUUGUCUUCAACACACAUGUCUCCCUGUGUGAUCUAGAUUACACUCUUCACCGAUGUCUCCUCCAAUAAGAUCCAAUUCCGUUUCCCGCAUCUACUCCACCACCGCUUCUCCUUUACAUCUCAUCUAUAUUCUCCAUGAGGUUGUUCCUUCCUCAGCUCUCUGUUAUCUUUGACUUCAUCGCCUCUCCAUUCAUCUUCUCAGUUAAACCCACUGCUUCUUCGACUUCAGUUUCAUCAUCGGCCAACAUAAAAAUAAAUCCUUUCCCCUUCACCGACCGAGUUGUUCCACCGUCAAAAUGUAUUCCGAUUUCCGAUCGUCCUUCCCUUUUGCAAAAAUCUCAAUUAUAAAUUCGGUUAUGGACCCAGUUUUUUACUUUCUCCAAUGUGCGCCAUUGGUGGUUUGGCUGAUGGCUUUACAGUUUCAUUCCUAACUCCUUCAAUCGCAACCUCCACCGUGUAUUAGUCUGUCUUAAUCUAUGGUUAGAAGUCGUUUACUUCAGUCGUCUGCUAUCUUCACGAUUGACGAUGCCAUCGGAAGCUUCGCCGCCUCCGACAACGACGCCGACCUCUGACAACGACGCCAACCUCCGGGUUGCUGAUGAUGUGGUCAAGAAUCAGAUGGGUACAUUGUGGGAAGUGGCAGUAGAAAAAAACACGGCAUGUAGGGAUAUUAGUGUAUGAUAUCUUGAAGCUAGAGUGCUCUGAUGUUCACUCAUCAUCCCAACAAUCUAUCACCAAGGAUUUACCCUUGUGCUUAUACAAAAGAAGGAAAUAUCAUAUCCGGUUGCAUUUGGAGGUCUUAAGAAGGAUGCAUCAGACCAUGACGAAUAUGAAUCUGAAAUGACAUUUAGGACAAUGCAGCUUCUUUGAGGACUCAACUUGAUCAGCACAAAAGCGUUGUAGAAAAUUUGGUGAAUAACGCUCGGAUUCUAGAAAGCAUGAUACAAUAGGCUAAGUCAAAGACAGAUACUCUUAAAGCACGUGCACAGUCAGCAAAAACUGCAACAAAACUAAGUGAAAUGUUGGUGAAUGUGAAUACAAGCAGUGCUCUUUCAGCAUUUGAGAACAUGAAAGAAAAAGGUUCCCUUUCUUUCUAUCUUAAAACAAAGCAAAAUACAUGAAUGCCCUUGAAACUUUUUUUUGGAUGUUAGUUGUAACCAUGGAGUCUCAAGCAGAAGUGCUUAAUCAGCUACCAAGUGAUGAUCUUAAAGGAAAGGAAGAAUAAAAGAAGAGUUGGGAAAAGUAGCAAUAACAAAUGUUUCAAGUAAUGGGUGAUGGUUUACUUAAAAAGGAUAUUCAUUUGUGUUUUACUACGGGUAUGGUGUGUUUGACCCUGUUCAGAAGUUGGCUUCAGUUGGAGCUGAUACACAUAAAGAUAUAAUUGAAUUUCUCAUGUCUAAAGUGAAGGAUAAAGACAUCACAUACAAGACUUUCAGCUUUUGGAUUUGCAAUUUAUUGCUGUCAUUUUUUUCAAUUGUUUAAUAUCGGGUAUUGUAACUUAAUAAAAUCUUUCCGUUUUGUCCA
This is a long non-coding RNA of Lactuca sativa (garden lettuce), 1644 nucleotides long. RefSeq lists it as uncharacterized. The record is from RefSeq and is a predicted model, not a curated record. NCBI's taxonomy places the organism in Eukaryota, Viridiplantae, Streptophyta, Magnoliopsida, Asterales, Asteraceae.